RNAcentral lists this ribosomal RNA (381 nucleotides) under uncultured bacterium. RNAcentral describes it as "bacterial SSU rRNA". It matches the Rfam family "Bacterial small subunit ribosomal RNA", at positions 28 to 414 of the family's 1533-position model. The record is from RNAcentral.
GACGAACGCUGGCGGCGUGCUUAACACAUGCAAGUCGAACGGUAAGGCCCUUCGGGUACGACGAGUGGCGAACGGGUGAGUAACACGUGGUGAUCUGCCCUGCACUUCGGGAUAAGCCUGGGAAACUGGGUCUAAUACCGGAUAGGACCAUGGACUUCACGGUUUGUGGUGGAAAGCUUUUGCGGUGUGGGAUGGGCCCGCGGCCUAUCAGCUUGUUGGUGGGGUAAUGGCCUACCAAGGCGACGACGGGUGGCCGGCCUGAGAGGGUGUCCGGCCACACUGGGACUGAGAUACGGCCCAGACUCCUACGGGAGGCAGCAGUGGGGAAUAUUGCACAAUGGGCGCAAGCCUGAUGCAGCGACGCCGCGUGAGGGAUGACGG